AACGAACGCUGGCGGCAUGCCUAACACAUGCAAGUCGAACGAGACCUUCGGGUCGAGUGGCGCACGGGUGCGUAACGCGUGGGAACCUGCCCUUAGGUUCGGAAUAACUCCCCGAAAGGGGUGCUAAUACCGGAUAAUGUCUUCGGACCAAAGAUUUAUCGCCUUUGGAUGGGCCCGCGUUGGAUUAGCUAGUUGGUAGGGUAAAAGCCUACCAAGGCGACGAUCCAUAGCUGGUCUGAGAGGAUGAUCAGCCACACUGGGACUGAGACACGGCCCAGACUCCUACGGGAGGCAGCAGUGGGGAAUAUUGGACAAUGGGCGCAAGCCUGAUCCAGCAAUGCCGCGUGAGUGAUGAAGGCCUUAGGGUUGUAAAGCUCUUUUACCCGGGAUGAUAAUGACAGUACCGGGAGAAUAAGCUCCGGCUAACUCCGUG
This 433-nucleotide ribosomal RNA is filed under the name uncultured bacterium. RNAcentral's name for it is "partial 16S ribosomal RNA". It matches the Rfam family "Bacterial small subunit ribosomal RNA", at positions 29 to 507 of the family's 1533-position model. The record is from RNAcentral.